RNAcentral lists this ribosomal RNA (497 nucleotides) under uncultured bacterium. RNAcentral describes it as "partial 16S ribosomal RNA". It matches the Rfam family "Bacterial small subunit ribosomal RNA", at positions 28 to 507 of the family's 1533-position model. The record is from RNAcentral.
GAUGAACGCUGGCGGCGUGCCUAAUACAUGCAAGUCGAGCGAACAGACGAGGAGCUUGCUCCUCUGACGUUAGCGGCGGACGGGUGAGUAACACGCGGAUAACCUACCUAUAAGACUGGGAUAACUUCGGGAAACCGGCGCUAAUACCGGAUAAUAUAUUGAACCGCAUGGUUCAAUAGUGAAUGACGGUUUUGCUGUCACUUAUAGAUGGAUCCGCGCCGCAUUAGCUAGUUGGUAAGGUAACGGCUUACCACGGCAACGAGGCGUAGCCGACCUGAGAGGGUGAUAGGCCACAUUGGAACUGAGACACGGUCCAGGCUCCUACGGGAGGCAGCAGUAGGGAAUCUUCCGCAAUGGGCGGAAGCCUGACGGAGCAACGCCGCGUGAGUGAUGAAGGUCUUCGGAUCGUAAAACUCUGUUAUGAGGGAAGAACAAAUGUGUAAGUAACUAUGCACGGCUUGACGGUACCUAAUCAGAAAGCCACGGCUAACUACGUG